GCAGUCAGAUCAUACCUGGACUGUUGUGUUGUGGUACGGACUUACAUGUCUUAAACAGAGAAAAUAGAGAAUGAUAUUGCUGGAUGGUUUUUUCUCAUUAGCAUAUCUUGAAGCUGUCCAUUGUUGUUCGAUACCAUCUGGACUGUACGCUCCUCACUUCCAAAGAAAAAGUAUUACAUAGAAAUAUUUCUAAUAAGUGAUACAGAAGGAUUCUUCAUUGUUUUUAUCUUAUCUUGAUAAACCCAUUAGCAUUUAUAGAAUCAACACUGACUACAUCUAAUGCCCGUUCUUUAGCUGUUUCUCAAAUAAAAUAAAAAUUUGUUACACUGGUUCAUUUCAAUACCUGUUCUUUAGCAUGAUUCAUCUUCUAGAAAAGUACCCAAUGUUCCCCAAUAGUUUACGUAUAAGUGUAGCUAUAUUUGGCCACAUGUGAACUCUACAUACUGACCCCCUGAUGUAGUACAGACCGUAGGUAUUAGAUUAAGCACUCAAACAAUAGAACAUAGAAGAAUCUAAAAGAUCGAGGAGACGAAAAUAUAGAUCGAAGGGACGAAAGAAAGGACCGAAAUCAGAGAACCGAGAAGGAAGAACAGAAAUCACAUAGUUUAAGAGAAG
This is a non-coding RNA of Prunus avium (sweet cherry), 615 nucleotides long. Lineage: Eukaryota; Viridiplantae; Streptophyta; Magnoliopsida; Rosales; Rosaceae. The record is from RefSeq and is a predicted model, not a curated record.